RNAcentral lists this ribosomal RNA (235 nucleotides) under uncultured bacterium. Its description in RNAcentral is "partial 16S ribosomal RNA". It matches the Rfam family "Bacterial small subunit ribosomal RNA", at positions 99 to 334 of the family's 1533-position model. The record is from RNAcentral.
CGCACGGGUGAGUAACACGUAUCCAACCUGCCGUCUACUCUUGGGCAGCCUUCUGAAGGGAAGAUUAAUACAAGAUGGCAUCAUGAGUCCGCAUGUUCACAUGAUUAAAGGUAUUCCGGUAGACGAUGGGGAUGCGUUUCAUUAGAUAGUAGGCGGGGUAACGGCCCACCUAGUCUUCGAUGGAUAGGGGUUCUGAGAGGAAGGUCCCCCACAUUGGAACUGAGACACGGUCCAA